RNAcentral lists this ribosomal RNA (774 nucleotides) under human gut metagenome. RNAcentral's name for it is "bacterial SSU rRNA". It matches the Rfam family "Bacterial small subunit ribosomal RNA", at positions 29 to 800 of the family's 1533-position model. The record is from RNAcentral.
ACGAACGCUGGCGGCGUGCCUAACACAUGCAAGUCGAACGGAACUGUUUUGAAAGAUUUCUUCGGAAUGAAUUUGAUUUAGUUUAGUGGCGGACGGGUGAGUAACGCGUGAGUAACCUGCCUUCAAGAGGGGGAUAACAUUCUGAAAAGAAUGCUAAUACCGCAUGACAUAUCGGAACCACAUGGUUUUGAUAUCAAAGAUUUUAUCGCUUGAAGAUGGACUCGCGUCCGAUUAGUUAGUUGGUGAGGUAACGGCUCACCAAGACCGCGAUCGGUAGCCGGACUGAGAGGUUGAACGGCCACAUUGGGACUGAGACACGGCCCAGACUCCUACGGGAGGCAGCAGUGGGGGAUAUUGCGCAAUGGGGGCAACCCUGACGCAGCAACGCCGCGUGAAGGAUGAAGGUUUUCGGAUUGUAAACUUCUUUUAUUAAGGACGAAACUUGACGGUACUUAAUGAAUAAGCUCCGGCUAACUACGUGCCAGCAGCCGCGGUAAUACGUAGGGAGCAAGCGUUGUCCGGAUUUACUGGGUGUAAAGGGUGCGUAGGCGGCUUUGCAAGUCAGAUGUGAAAUCUAUGGGCUCAACCCAUAAACUGCAUUUGAAACUGUAGAGCUUGAGUGAAGUAGAGGCAGGCGGAAUUCCCCGUGUAGCGGUGAAAUGCGUAGAGAUGGGGAGGAACACCAGUGGCGAAGGCGGCCUGCUGGGCUUUAACUGACGCUGAGGCACGAAAGCGUGGGUAGCAAACAGGAUUAGAUACCCUGGUAGUCCACGC